AUGAGAGACACACAGAGAGAGGCAGAGACACAGGCAGAGGGAGAAGCAGGGAGCCUGAUGCCAGGACCCCAUCCCAGGACCCCAGGAUCAAGACCUGAGCCAAAGGCUGAUGCUCAACGACUGAGCCCCUCCAGGGGCCCCGAUUUUCUGCAGAAUGAUGUUUAUGAGACUAACCAAACUACCUUCCAGAUGACUUCUAUCUACCACAGUCUUCCUCCCCUCUGUAAGAGAAUGCAAGUAGAUGCUGAUGUUUGAAGCAAGAACGUUCAAGAAUUGCUGCCUGACUUUUAACCCAAGGAUUGGAAUGCUAUUCAUCUCAUUGUCAGAGAUUUCCAGUAAAAGUCAUAGUAAGAAUCAAAUGUAAUCCCCUAAGUACACUCACACAAGUUAGCUCCAGCCAUGCCAGAAAUUCUCAGUGGAAUUCCAACUCAAGUGUUGUGUGUGAUCAAUCCAAC
This 455-nucleotide long non-coding RNA is filed under the name Vulpes vulpes (red fox). RNAcentral's name for it is "lncRNA (ENSVVUG00000008050.1)". Lineage: Eukaryota; Metazoa; Chordata; Mammalia; Carnivora; Canidae. The record is from RNAcentral.